GGGGAAGACUUUGGUGUUUGAUUUUUAUUUACUUUCUGCCUGAUAUCAGCACAUGAGGGCGCUGUGCUGUAGUUUUGAAAGAUGCAGCGAACAGUCUGAAAACCAUUAAUUCAUGAAUAAAGUUAGCUCCAUGUCAUACUGAAGCACCCCUAAACCAACUCAAACACACUAUAAAAGAUCAACGAGGAGAACAAAGAACAGUAUGAAUGCAGUGUAGUGUUUAACCAACAUCUAAAUAAACAUAUAGUGACUCACUUAGGAGAACAAAAAAAAAAAACAAUCUUUCAGUUUUAAAAAGCUGAAGCUUAAAAUAUGGCACAAAACAGCUCCCCUUAUGGUAUGUAACAUACAGACAGGUGUGUCGAGUGUUGAAUUUGCUGCAAUCUUGAAAUGUAACGUGAUCUCGAAGAAAAUAUCCAAG
Pelobates cultripes (western spadefoot toad) is the source of this 421-nucleotide non-coding RNA. The record is from the annotation of a GenBank genome assembly. Lineage: Eukaryota; Metazoa; Chordata; Amphibia; Anura; Pelobatidae.